Hemicordylus capensis (graceful crag lizard) is the source of this 921-nucleotide long non-coding RNA. RefSeq lists it as uncharacterized. The record is from RefSeq and is a predicted model, not a curated record. The transcript has 3 exons. NCBI's taxonomy places the organism in Eukaryota, Metazoa, Chordata, Lepidosauria, Squamata, Cordylidae.
CCGAAAGGGCCCAAAAGACUACAUUUACCCAGCUGCGGCGGUGAUGAGGGAGGCCAGCAGCGGGAGAGGGAACACCGCCCCGCCCCCCUCGCGGCUACAGCAUGCCUCACGAAGGGACUACAGGUGUCUAAAGGAGUGUAGUGCCCAAUCACGAUGGAAGGAACAUAGAGCAGCUAUUGAUACAGAGAGGUGGGCAGAGGAAUCGCAGAAACCGAUCCUGGCUCCGAAUACAACCGCAGUCGUGGGAGACUCCAAAUCGGAUUUUGGCUCUGGUGACACAAGCGGAAUCCAGCUGUUGGCUUGAUGCAGCUGCCGCGGUUUCCUUCUCUCGUUUUGCUCUUGCGUUCCCCUCGCUGCCUCCGUGAGGGUUUGCCUGCCAUUAAUGGCAGGAGUCCAUUUGGCUGCAGCCUCCAGCACUGCAGUUGUGCAAAAAAAGAGGCAGGGAGAGGGAGAACAGGCCAGCUGCCGACAGCAAGCCUUUGAUGAGUUGUCUGCUGCUUUGCCAUCGGUAUUAAUAGAUGGCCACAUUCUGCUUUCAGAGGGACCAUGGCAAACAACCAUAGAUUUUUCGGGGGGUGUUAUUCAGAGAUUUCUUUCUUCCCCACACAGGGAGGGAGUUCAGUGAAAUGGCAAGAGGCUAUCCCAGACUCUCUACUGCUUUCUAGAGAGGAAGGAGUGGUGGAGGAGCGCUGGUCCUGUGGUGAGAGGCAGGAAUUGCCCCCUUUGCUAAGCAGGGCCCACUCUGGUUUGCAUUUGAAUGGGAGACAUGUGAGAGUACUGUAAAACAUUCCCCUGAGAGGAGGGGGCCACUCUGGGAAGAGCACCUGCAUAUUUGCCUGCCGAAGAUCCCAAGUUCCUUUCCUGGUGUCUCCAACAUAGGGCUGAUAGAAACUCCUGCCUGCAACCUUGGGAGAAGCUGCU